CCUACGGGUGGCAGCAGUAGGGAAUCUUCCACAAUGGGCGAAAGCCUGAUGGAGCGACGCCGCGUGAGUGAAGAAGGACUUCGGUUCGUAAAACUCUGUUGUCAGGGAAGAACAUGUACAUACGUAACUGACUAUCCCUGGCUGGCACCUUAUUAGCAAGCCCCGGCUAACGACGUGCGAGCAGCUGCUGCAAUACGUAGGUGGCAAGCGUUGUCCGGAAUGACUGGGCGUAACGUGAGUGCAGGAGGGUUGUAAAGCCCGAUGGGAAAGCUCAGGGCUCAACCGUGGGAGGUCAUGGGGAACUGGGAGGCUUGAGUGCAGGAGGGGAAAGUGGAAUUCCGAGUGUAGCGGUGAAAUGCGUAGAGAUUAGGAGGAACACCAGUGGCGAAGGCGACUAGCUGGACUGUAACGGACGCUGAGGCGCGAAAGCGUGGGGAGCAAACAGGAUUAGAUACCCUUGUAGUC
This 465-nucleotide ribosomal RNA is filed under the name uncultured bacterium. RNAcentral describes it as "partial 16S ribosomal RNA". It matches the Rfam family "Bacterial small subunit ribosomal RNA", at positions 338 to 795 of the family's 1533-position model. The record is from RNAcentral.